GGGGAAUUUUCCGCAAUGGGCUGAAAGUCUGACGGAGCAAUACCGCGUGAGGGAGGAAGGCUUUUGGGUUGUAAACCUCUUUUCUCAAGGAAGAAGUACUGACGGUACUUGAGGAAUCAGCAUCGGCUAACUCCGUGCCAGCAGCCGCGGUAAUACGGAGGAUGCGAGCGUUAUCCGGAAUCAUUGGGCGUAAAGAGUCUGUAGGUGGCACUUCAAGUCUGCUGUCAAAGACCGAAGCUUAACUUCGGGAAGGCGGUGGAAACUGGAGAGCUAGAGUAAAGCAGGGGUAGAGGGAAUUCCCAGUGUAGCGGUGAAAUGCGUAGAGAUUGGGAAGAACACCAGUGGCGAAGGCGCUCUACUGGGCUAAAACUGACACUGAGAGACGAAAGCUAGGGUAGCGAAAGGGAUUAGAUACCCCUGUAGUC
This 425-nucleotide ribosomal RNA is filed under the name uncultured cyanobacterium. RNAcentral's name for it is "bacterial SSU rRNA". It matches the Rfam family "Bacterial small subunit ribosomal RNA", at positions 356 to 795 of the family's 1533-position model. Lineage: Bacteria; Bacillati; Cyanobacteriota. The record is from RNAcentral.